This 395-nucleotide ribosomal RNA is filed under the name uncultured bacterium. Its description in RNAcentral is "bacterial SSU rRNA". It matches the Rfam family "Bacterial small subunit ribosomal RNA", at positions 29 to 430 of the family's 1533-position model. The record is from RNAcentral.
AUUGAACGCUGGCGGCAUGCCUUACACAUGCAAGUCGAACGGCAGCACGGGGGCAACCCUGGUGGCGAGUGGCGAACGGGUGAGUAAUACAUCGGAACGUGCCCAGUAGUGGGGGAUAGCUCGGCGAAAGCCGGAUUAAUACCGCAUACGACCUACGGGUGAAAGCGGGGAUCGCAAGACCUCGCGCUAUUGGAGCGGCCGAUGUCAGAUUAGGUUGUUGGUGGGGUAAAGGCCUACCAAGCCGACGAUCUGUAGCUGGUCUGAGAGGACGACCAGCCACACUGGGACUGAGACACGGCCCAGACUCCUACGGGAGGCAGCAGUGGGGAAUUUUGGACAAUGGGCGCAAGCCUGAUCCAGCCAUGCCGCGUGCGGGAAGAAGGCCUGGUGUAACG